CGGGGUGGAGUAAUGUCUGGGAAACUAGCCUGAUGGAGGGGGAUAACUACUGGAAACGGUAGCUAAUACCGCAUAACGUCGCAAGACCAAAGAGGGGGACCUUCGGGCCUCUUGCCAUCGGAUGUGCCCAGAUGGGAUUAGCUAGUAGGUGGGGUAACGGCUCACCUAGGCGACGAUCCCUAGCUGGUCUGAGAGGAUGAUCAGCCACACUGGGACUGAGACACGGCCCAG
Molecule: ribosomal RNA, 231 nt
Filed under: uncultured bacterium
Lineage: Bacteria
Description: partial 16S ribosomal RNA
Rfam family: Bacterial small subunit ribosomal RNA
Source: RNAcentral